AAAAAGGCGGAAGAGACAUUAGGCCCCUUCUUUGUUGAAAGGCCGGAACUCCACAAAGCAUUUUAAUUAUGUGUUGACCACAGCUUAACCCCAGAAGAGUUCGAAACGAGCUGGAAGGCAAUGACAGAAAAGUACCAAAUGCACGACAAUGAUAGCCUACAGAACCUUUGGAAUAAGAGAAAAUUCUGGGUGCCAGCUUAUUUUAUGCAGUGUUUCUACCCCUUCAUGCAGACUGCCCAAGGAAAUGAGGGGUUUAACACUGUUAUAAAAAGGUAUGUGAACCCUAGCAAUUCAAUUCUCAGAUUUGUCCAGCAGUACAACGCAAUACAACAAAAAAUUCUAUGCGCGGAGCUACAACAGUUGGCAAACACAACACUCAAAAACCCCCAGCUAUACUCAUGCAAUCGGUUGGAGAGAGAGAUGAUGAGAAUUUAUACACAACAAAUUUUCUACAGGUCAGUGUCUUUCUUCCAAAGCGUAUGUGAAAUUCAAUGA
RNAcentral lists this ribosomal RNA (495 nucleotides) under Triticum aestivum (bread wheat). Its description in RNAcentral is "partial small subunit ribosomal RNA". The record is from RNAcentral. Lineage: Eukaryota; Viridiplantae; Streptophyta; Magnoliopsida; Poales; Poaceae.